This 1356-nucleotide ribosomal RNA is filed under the name Escherichia coli. RNAcentral's name for it is "partial 23S ribosomal RNA". It matches the Rfam family "Bacterial large subunit ribosomal RNA", at positions 1607 to 2925 of the family's 2925-position model. Lineage: Bacteria; Pseudomonadati; Pseudomonadota; Gammaproteobacteria; Enterobacterales; Enterobacteriaceae. The record is from RNAcentral.
UCCAGGAAAAGCCUCUAAGCAUCAGGUAACAUCAAAUCGUACCCCAAACCGACACAGGUGGUCAGGUAGAGAAUACCAAGGCGCUUGAGAGAACUCGGGUGAAGGAACUAGGCAAAAUGGUGCCGUAACUUCGGGAGAAGGCACGCUGAUAUGUAGGUGAGGUCCCUCGCGGAUGGAGCUGAAAUCAGUCGAAGAUACCAGCUGGCUGCAACUGUUUAUUAAAAACACAGCACUGUGCAAACACGAAAGUGGACGUAUACGGUGUGACGCCUGCCCGGUGCCGGAAGGUUAAUUGAUGGGGUUAGCGGUAACGCGAAGCUCUUGAUCGAAGCCCCGGUAAACGGCGGCCGUAACUAUAACGGUCCUAAGGUAGCGAAAUUCCUUGUCGGGUAAGUUCCGACCUGCACGAAUGGCGUAAUGAUGGCCAGGCUGUCUCCACCCGAGACUCAGUGAAAUUGAACUCGCUGUGAAGAUGCAGUGUACCCGCGGCAAGACGGAAAGACCCCGUGAACCUUUACUAUAGCUUGACACUGAACAUUGAGCCUUGAUGUGUAGGAUAGGUGGGAGGCUUUGAAGUGUGGACGCCAGUCUGCAUGGAGCCGACCUUGAAAUACCACCCUUUAAUGUUUGAUGUUCUAACGUUGACCCGUAAUCCGGGUUGCGGACAGUGUCUGGUGGGUAGUUUGACUGGGGCGGUCUCCUCCUAAAGAGUAACGGAGGAGCACGAAGGUUGGCUAAUCCUGGUCGGACAUCAGGAGGUUAGUGCAAUGGCAUAAGCCAGCUUGACUGCGAGCGUGACGGCGCGAGCAGGUGCGAAAGCAGGUCAUAGUGAUCCGGUGGUUCUGAAUGGAAGGGCCAUCGCUCAACGGAUAAAAGGUACUCCGGGGAUAACAGGCUGAUACCGCCCAAGAGUUCAUAUCGACGGCGGUGUUUGGCACCUCGAUGUCGGCUCAUCACAUCCUGGGGCUGAAGUAGGUCCCAAGGGUAUGGCUGUUCGCCAUUUAAAGUGGUACGCGAGCUGGGUUUAGAACGUCGUGAGACAGUUCGGUCCCUAUCUGCCGUGGGCGCUGGAGAACUGAGGGGGGCUGCUCCUAGUACGAGAGGACCGGAGUGGACGCAUCACUGGUGUUCGGGUUGUCAUGCCAAUGGCACUGCCCGGUAGCUAAAUGCGGAAGAGAUAAGUGCUGAAAGCAUCUAAGCACGAAACUUGCCCCGAGAUGAGUUCUCCCUGACUCCUUGAGAGUCCUGAAGGAACGUUGAAGACGACGACGUUGAUAGGCCGGGUGUGUAAGCGCAGCGAUGCGUUGAGCUAACCGGUACUAAUGAACCGUGAGGCUUAACCUUACAACGCCGAAG